RNAcentral lists this ribosomal RNA (253 nucleotides) under uncultured bacterium. Its description in RNAcentral is "partial 16S ribosomal RNA". It matches the Rfam family "Bacterial small subunit ribosomal RNA", at positions 524 to 776 of the family's 1533-position model. The record is from RNAcentral.
UACAGAGGGGGCAAGCGUUGUUCGGAAUUACUGGGCGUAAAGGGCGCGUAGGCGGCCUGCUAAGUCGAACGUGAAAUCCCUGGGCUCAACCCAGGAACUGCGUCCGAUACUGGUUGGCUUGAAUCCGGGCGAGGGAUGUGGAAUUCCAGGUGUAGCGGUGAAAUGCGUAGAUAUCUGGAGGAACACCGGUGGCGAAGGCGACAUCCUGGACCGGCAUUGACGCUGAGGCGCGAAAGCCAGGGGAGCAAACGGG